CUAAUCACAAUCUGCCUUCUGUCUGCGCCAAGAAACCCUGAAAACUGUGAGGUUCCCAAAGAGGCCAGAUUUAAAACAGAACCAGUGGAGGGAUGAAGAUGAUCUCCAGGAUCCUGCUGCUCCUCAUCCUCAGCUCAUGUCUCUGUGCAGCAACAUUUGUAGUGAAUGUGACACAGAGCAGCUAUCAGGCAGAGGAGAACCACAGCAUCACUCUGGAGUGGACCUUCACCACCAAGACUCGGGGAUCCUGGAGGGAACU
Xiphophorus maculatus (southern platyfish) is the source of this 259-nucleotide long non-coding RNA. RefSeq lists it as uncharacterized. The transcript is spliced from 3 exons. NCBI's taxonomy places the organism in Eukaryota, Metazoa, Chordata, Actinopteri, Cyprinodontiformes, Poeciliidae. The record is from RefSeq and is a predicted model, not a curated record.